GAAGAAACACAAUCUUUUGACAUUCACCCCUCAAAAAAGGACAUUUAUGGCGCUUGGUAGUUGUUUGAAUGUUUGAGUUAGCUGCUUUACUAGAGCCUCUGUGUGUAACUUAGUGUCAGUAAUUAGCCUUGGCCCGUCCCAACGAUGUGUGGAGUAGCGUCGACGUUUCAGUAAUUAGCCGUGACCCGUAACGUUACCAACGUUGUUUCAGUAAUUAGCCAUGGCCUGUUCCAACGAUGUGGGUGGAGAGGCGUCGGCAUUUCAGAAAUUAGCCUUGACCAGGUAAAAGUAGUCUACAAUGCUGCUGCGUGUCAUCAUAUCAGAAAAUGAAGACAUCCCAUCCAGUGUUGAGGAGCUGUAUCAGGUGUUGCGAACAAAGCUUGGUCUGAGAGGUGGAUUCAUUUUGCAAUAAUCAGUAAUGCAACCUAAUCAGUGUGCAACCUAACAGACAUCAAAGACCUUCCUGUGAGGUGGGCAACUGUGAAAGUGUUGUUCACAGCUGAUGACGUCUCAGAUUCUACACUGGACACUUGCAGCCUCCCUUCUCUUAGUAGAGAUUGUGUUGAAUGGCCUGACCCCUUCCCGAUUCCACAGUUCUCACAUGAUGUGGAGCUGCAGCUGAAAGAAGCCAAUGCUAAGGAUGGAUCUGUAAUGGUGAUUCCUAAAGGUUUAAAGACAUUCUUGAUAUACUGGCCGACAGUAUGUCAAAGAUUAGUGCUUAUCCUGAGAGGCAUCACUAUGAGAAUGAAGCCAAAGCACUUGUGGAGAAGCAUCCUAGUCUGAAGGAGCCAAGGUCAGAAAAGGGAUGGUACUCGUGGUUUCACAGCCUGAAAUUUAAGCUUGGAAACUAUCGGCAAAAGUUAAGUGCAGCAGGAUGCCCUGAAGUGGUGGUAAAGAAAAGGAGAAGGUUCGAAGGGGAAAGUGUAAAGAAGUCAAAGAAGGGUGAGGUCAACUACUGUCCAGAUCCGCCUGAAGGACAGAGUCCUGAAAACAUGGAGGAGAAGUGUAAUAUGAUGGAGGCUGAAAUGCUGAAGAGACCCUGAUCCCCAGCUGGUAGAAGACCUGAUGGUUGCUACGUUUUCCCAGCGCAGAAAAGAGAUAAUUGGAGAUCAGCCACUCAUCACAGAAGUCAUUUCCAGAUGGCCACCUCUGUUGCAUGAGAGACAGAUCAGGACGGAGUUCAAGAGAAUGGUCACCAAAGACCUUCUGGAAUAUUUUCUCGACAGACGUGAUGGCCUGGUCCCAAGACUGCUAGAGGUGUACAAAGCAGCAACCAAGACUGGAAAGAAGCAAUCACUCAAAGAUAUUUUGGACUGCCUUCAGAAAGAUGAUACAAAUGAGAAGAGAAGGACUGCUGCCUUGCUUGGUCUGCCACACUACAUAUCAGGCGAAGAUCCAUCAACUGUAGUCAGGAUGUGACGCUCACAGGGAGACUCUGGAUGAAACCAUGAAGGGGAUGCAACUUGGCCUGCUGAUAGGCUAUGAAGGUGCUGAACGGGAUGCCUUUCCACGGGAGGUCUUCGAGAUAGCUGUUGUGGUUGAGGAGACAACAUUAAAGAUGUGGCAUGCAGCUUUGCCAUGCUCAUGGGUGUCAUCUACUGUGUCAAUCUCGA
This is a long non-coding RNA of Micropterus salmoides (largemouth bass), 1613 nucleotides long. RefSeq lists it as uncharacterized. The record is from RefSeq and is a predicted model, not a curated record. Lineage: Eukaryota; Metazoa; Chordata; Actinopteri; Centrarchiformes; Centrarchidae. The transcript is spliced from 5 exons.